This 253-nucleotide ribosomal RNA is filed under the name uncultured bacterium. Its description in RNAcentral is "partial 16S ribosomal RNA". It matches the Rfam family "Bacterial small subunit ribosomal RNA", at positions 524 to 776 of the family's 1533-position model. The record is from RNAcentral.
UACGUAGGGGGCAAGCGUUGUCCGGAAUCAUUGGGCGUAAAGAGCGUGUAGGCGGCUCGAUAAGUCUGUUCUGAAAGUCCAGGGCUCAACCCUGGGAUGCGGAUGGAUACUGUCGAGCUCGAGUCCGGAAGAGGCGAGUGGAAUUCCUGGUGUAGCGGUGAAAUGCGUAGAUAUUGGGAAGAACACCCGUGGCGAAGGCGGCUCUCUGGAACGGUACUGACGCUGAGACGCGAAAGCGUGGGGAGCGAACAGG